This 1910-nucleotide ribosomal RNA is filed under the name Triticum aestivum (bread wheat). RNAcentral's name for it is "partial small subunit ribosomal RNA". Lineage: Eukaryota; Viridiplantae; Streptophyta; Magnoliopsida; Poales; Poaceae. The record is from RNAcentral.
UCCCCGAGACGACUUUUUUUUCUCUGUCUUUGGUCCCCACCACUUUCACAAACCGGAAACCGCCGUACUCUGCCGCCCGAGGCAGUGGCAGUGCCCAGUGUUUGCCACUAGCGGAGGAACCUAAAGGCAAGAAAGAUCUUACCCACAAAAACCAGACCAAAGAAAUAUAGGCGCCAUGUUUAGUUUCAAUCGCACAGAGCGAGGAGGCUAGUCACGAUCAUAAAACAAAUAGACGUGCCGUUCAGUCUCAACCCGACGCACAACGGGGCAAACCUUUACAGGUUUAACCCCUUUUGAUGCGGUCAGCUAACGUGUUCUAACAAUAUGACGACCUAGCUAACCACCAACCACACCUCAAUUAUCAACAGAUGAAACCGAGUUGGAGACGAAGGGGUAAAACCUCCUCCCUUGUUAAGGCGGCACAACCUUAAUCUACACAAAUACCGAAAAAACCUUAACCUAAUGUCCACAGUUGGCCUUAUACUCUACUAAACAAACCUAUUCGGUCUUAUAAUCUCGUUUCCAAUAAGGUACUAAAAAGGCGUGUUUGUUUUUUCAAUAAGGUACUAAUAAAGAUAUCAACCCUUCAACAGAAUGGCACCAACCGUUCAGGUUGUUCAUGAAAAUCCAUGAAAGGGGCGAUUUAAUGUUACUAGCAACUAAAUCUUUUUGAUAAAUUAUAAAAGAAUUUGUGUCUGCGUCUGGGAGUAUGUGAGAUCAUAUCAUUUAAUUAACAGAUAGAUAGGGGAAGGUAGUACCGCGAGGUAGAGGGUAGUUGAUACUGCGGCGACGGAAAGCAGCUUGGUAGUGGGAGAGGUUGGCAACCGCAGCUCUAAGGAAGACCUCAAGAUGAAAACGCUGUCGCGGUUGCGAGUAUCGUACACGGAACCUCAACGUCUGUAGCAGUAACUUUGGAACUUAGCCAUUACGAUGGUGGCACAAGGGUGCUGCUCUUUGGAUUGGCGUGACGGGGUUCUUCUACUGUUCCCAGCUGCGGCUUCGAGGCAGUUGAGGUAGGGCUACCUACUUGAGUUCCUGUUAGUUUCGGGCCUUCUACAGAGAGCUCCUACUUAUUAGCAGUAAACGGGCUUGUGGAUUCUCUUUCUUUUUUUUCGAUUGGGUUUGAUGAUCAGCUUCAGCUCCGUGGCCCCGGGGGAGGGGCAGUAGUCGGCGGACUUGACGUCCGUCUCCCCUCCACCUAGGUGUCCGAGUGGCUGUUUCAAACCUCCCCUACUCACUGGAUCGGUCGCGUCAGCUCGCUCUCUCUUUGGGAUCGAACUUAUUUUAAAGAAUUUAAAAUGAUUCAAAUAUAUCUUUUUGAGAGAUAUAGAUGUUUGUAUAUAUUAUACUUAGAUACGGGGAUCUACACACACACACACAAAACCAUAAACUCUACAUCUAUAAACGAGCAUACCUGCAGAUUUUUUUAGAUACCAACAGAAGGGAGAAAUUCUUUUCAGAAGAAGGAGGAGGACGACCGCCAGGCGGUGCAAAGGCAACUGGAAACCUGUCACCACCACGCUUCCUACAGCCGGAGUACAGGCUAAGGGUAGGUUUACCACACAUAUCGCCGUAGCCGACCGGACACCUCCAAACUAUAAGAGCUAGAUGUUGAGAAAAGUAGCCGCUACCAAUGACGUGGCUAGGAAACCCAGGAAUCGUGCUGUAAAAGGCUACAGAUGUUGUUCCAGACAGGUCGAGGCCGCUCCCUCGCCGUUACUGCCGUCGCAGAAACCGAGUGAGGCCACGAACAUUAACAGCGAUCCACGGUUACUUUGACUAACAUUAAAAAUAACGGAAAUCACAAGAUUACUGACUGUACUAACUAAUAUUUAUCUAGUAUUCUUUUUACUCUACGCCUAUAAAAAGGACAUUGAAACUAGUUCCGAAUAUAAAAAGCUCUUUUUUUG